RNAcentral lists this microRNA precursor (74 nucleotides) under Nannospalax galili (Upper Galilee mountains blind mole rat). RNAcentral describes it as "microRNA 509 (ENSNGAG00000006348.1)". The record is from RNAcentral. Lineage: Eukaryota; Metazoa; Chordata; Mammalia; Rodentia; Spalacidae.
UGCUAUUUUACUCCAGACUAUGAAAAUCAUUCAUAGUUAAAUAUGAUUGACACUUCUGUAGUGGAGUAGCACAU